UGGAGGACUUAAUCUUCACGUGAUACUGUGAGGCUGUUUGAGGAACUUAUCUUAUGAAACCCAAGUGUUAUUUGGGAGCUUAUCAGGAAUGUUUUAUGAGAGGAAAAGAGAGCAGAGCCUAGCUGUGUCAUGGAAUAUUCCUUCCUUUCUUCCAUUACCCCAAGCCCUGUGCUGUUGCAUUUCUUGCUGUGUAUUAUUGACAGAGGAAAUGCUGAUUCAUGGGUCUGAGUUACAGGAAACUUUGUUUCCUGGUGAAGAAACAAGCCUGGCGGUGCUGCCAGCACCCUCCUCUGCCAAUUUCUGCCACGGGCCCUUCUCCCAGGCCUACACCGGACUGACGGACAAGGGACAGAGCCAAUUUGUGCUUAAGCAAUGAAGUCACUUUCCCUUGCCAGUGAGGUUAGCACCAUGCCUCUCUAGACCCUUCAGCUCUGACCCCAGGAUACCUUUCCAGUUCGGCUCCCCCCCACCCUCCCUCCUCACAUGGUGAGCUGUGGCCACACAUGACUACUCCGGGUCCUUUGCAAACACCAUGUAUUUUCCAGUCUCAGUGCUUUGGCUCAGGAUGUGCCCUGCCUGGAAUGGCCCCUGACCCAGUGUCGGCUCACUGAAAUCCUACCCAUGCUUCCAUCCCGCUCAAUGGUGACCUGCAAUGUGACACCUCCUAGCUUUCUUUCUCUUUGUUUUUAUUCUUCUUAGGAGGGUAUUUUCUAAUAUGCAGACUGAGCUCAAACCUGGAUUUUGGAAGAACAGCAAGAGUUCAUCUGGAUGUCCUGCUGAGGCACCCUGAUUUUACCAUGUCAAAAUGGAAGGAAGCAUCUGGUCAUCAGCCAAGAAGCCAUUGCCACUGGGGUGGAAAAUAGAAAAUGUGUAUAGAUUUUCCUCAUAAAAUUAAAUUAAAAUGCAAUUUGAGAUCCUUUCCUUGAAAA
Molecule: long non-coding RNA, 929 nt
Organism: Bubalus bubalis (water buffalo)
Lineage: Eukaryota; Metazoa; Chordata; Mammalia; Artiodactyla; Bovidae
Exons: 2
Source: RefSeq, a predicted model, not a curated record